AUACGUAGGAGGCAAGCGUUGUUCGGAAUCACUGGGCUUAAAGAGCGUGUAGGCGGGGUGGUAGGUGUCUUGUGAAAUCCCUGGGCUCAACCUAGGAACUGCAUCUGAAACUGGUAGGCUAGAGUAUGGUAGAGGGGGGUAGAAUUUCUGGUGUAGCGGUGAAAUGCGUAGAUAUCAGAAGGAAUACCAGUGGCGAAGGCGGCCCCCUGGCCCAAUACUGACGCUGAGGUACGAAAGCGUGGGUAGCGAACGGGAUUAGAAACCCCAGUAGUCC
Molecule: ribosomal RNA, 274 nt
Filed under: uncultured bacterium
Lineage: Bacteria
Description: partial 16S ribosomal RNA
Rfam family: Bacterial small subunit ribosomal RNA
Source: RNAcentral